This 497-nucleotide ribosomal RNA is filed under the name uncultured bacterium. Its description in RNAcentral is "partial 16S ribosomal RNA". It matches the Rfam family "Bacterial small subunit ribosomal RNA", at positions 28 to 507 of the family's 1533-position model. The record is from RNAcentral.
GAUGAACGCUGGCGGCGUGCCUAAUACAUGCAAGUCGAGCGAACAGACGAGGAGCUUGCUCCUCUGACGUUAGCGGCGGACGGGUGAGUAACACGUGGAUAACCUACCUAUAAGACUGGGAUAACUUCGGGAAACCGGAGCUAAUACCGGAUAAUAUAUUGAACCGCAUGGUUCAAUAGUGAAAGACGGUUUUGCUGUCACUUAUAGAUGGAUCCGCGCCGCAUUAGCUAGUUGGUAAGGUAACGGCUUACCAAGGCGACGAUGCGUAGCCGACCUGAGAGGGUGAUCGGCCACACUGGAGCUGGGACACGGUCCAGACUCCUACGGGAGGCAGCAGUAGGGAAUCUUCCGCAAUGGGCGAAAGCCUGACGGAGCAACGCCGCGUGAGUGAUGAAGGUCUUCGGAUCGUAAAACUCUGUUAUUAGGGAAGAACAAAUGUGUAAGUAACUGUGCACGUCUUGACGGUACCUAAUCAGAAAGCCACGGCUAACUACGUG